AUAAUUAAGAUGGAAUUA
RNAcentral lists this microRNA (18 nucleotides) under Corchorus capsularis. Its description in RNAcentral is "sRNA CCACVL1_21773". Lineage: Eukaryota; Viridiplantae; Streptophyta; Magnoliopsida; Malvales; Malvaceae. The record is from RNAcentral. RNAcentral also lists the same sequence under 1 other name.